This 255-nucleotide ribosomal RNA is filed under the name uncultured bacterium. RNAcentral describes it as "partial 16S ribosomal RNA". It matches the Rfam family "Bacterial small subunit ribosomal RNA", at positions 524 to 776 of the family's 1533-position model. The record is from RNAcentral.
UACGUAGGGUGCGAGCGUUGUCCGGAAUUAUUUGGGCGUAAAGGGCUCGUAGGCGGUCUGUCACGUCGGGAGUGAAAACUCAGGGCUUAACCCUGAGCCUGCUUCCGAUACGGGCAGACUAGAGGUAUGCAGGGGGAGAACGGAAUCCUGGUGUAGCGGUGAAAUGCGCAGAUAAUCAGGAGGAACACCGGUGGCGAAGGCGGUUCUCUGGGCAUUACCUGACGCUGAGGAGCGAAAGUGUGGGGAGCGAACGGG